RNAcentral lists this ribosomal RNA (450 nucleotides) under uncultured bacterium. Its description in RNAcentral is "partial 16S ribosomal RNA". It matches the Rfam family "Bacterial small subunit ribosomal RNA", at positions 354 to 796 of the family's 1533-position model. The record is from RNAcentral.
GUGGGGAAUUUUGGACAAUGGGCGCAAGCCUGAUCCAGCAAUGCCGCGUGCAGGAAGAAGGCCUUCGGGUUGUAAACUGCUUUUGUACGGAACGAAACGGUCCUGGUUAAUACCUGGGGCUAAUGACGGUACCGUAAGAAUAAGCACCGGCUAACUACGUGCCAGCAGCCGCGGUAAUACGUAGGGUGCGAGCGUUAAUCGGAAUUACUGGGCGUAAAGCGUGCGCAGGCGGUGCUGUAAGACAGGCGUGGAAUCCCCGGGCUCAACCUGGGAAUUGCGCUUGUGACUGCAGUGCUGGAGUACGGCAGAGGGGGAUGGAAUUCCGCGUGUAGCAGUGAAAUGCGUAGAUAUGCGGAGGAACACCGAUGGCGAAGGCAGUCCCCUGGGCCUGUACUGACGCUCAUGCACGAAAGCGUGGGGAGCAAACAGGAUUAGAUACCCUGGUAGUCC